CUCCACUGACGAGCUCCCUGUCGGGCUGUUGUCUGGGUCACUGAGCUGCAGUGAUGGAGCUGAGGGCCUGAGGAC
Diceros bicornis minor is the source of this 75-nucleotide small nucleolar RNA. RefSeq annotates it as small nucleolar RNA SNORD66. The record is from RefSeq and is a predicted model, not a curated record. NCBI's taxonomy places the organism in Eukaryota, Metazoa, Chordata, Mammalia, Perissodactyla, Rhinocerotidae. The transcript has a single exon.